UGUGGUGAAGUCCUUAGGACUAUUUAGACUCAACAAAGGAGGAUUUAUCAUUUAGUCCUUAAAUCUGUUCGCGACCAAAUGAUAUAUUAUUAUCAAGGAUGACAAUAUUUAUCAAGCAUAGGUCGUUGUGUGCCAUAUAGGUUGGUUGUCCUCUUAACUAAUGAGUGUGGAGACACUGGUAUGGCAUACAGGUGAGAUGUAAGGGUACAUCUGCACUGAACGUGACCGACUCCGGAGCUAUUUCUGCUGUCAAGAUUUGCUCCGAUGGAAUAUGGAUAUAAAUAUCCCUCUGACCUGAGACCGCCACGGUGACUUACAAGCAACUCACUGCACUUAGGCACUGGACUACCUGAAUUUUUAAUUCAGUGACGGAAGGCUGCUGGGUGUAGUCAAGUACUUGACUUAUCAGUGCGUGUGUCAAGAUGGGAUUGACCACUCUAGUUUAGGAGCUAUGUACAGUCGUGUUUCAAUUUAGCAAAAUCUUGGCCAGGAUAGUCCUUGUGAGGAGUCACAGGACUGUUUGAGUUGAGCACGAUUCGGAUGAUCUGAUCAGGGUUGACAGUUUAACCCUGAGUCAUCCUAAACACAGGGGUCAAAAGGAUGAAUUAUACAGUAACCAUAUUCAUGUAGGUUCUGAGUAUUGCGAUUGCGACUCUUCGACCUAUCCGGACGUCGGGUACCAUUGCUAGAUGGUCACUUCGAUUAGUACAGGAAUUGGUUCCUGUGCUACCAACUUAGGUUCGAACCUGUGGGGUCACACACAUUAGAGGUUCCUAUCUGAUCUGAUGGCUGGUGUAGAAUCCUUCAUGUUUGGGACUCAGUGAUCGAGAAUCAGGAUUCUCUGAUCACGAGUUCUACACAUUAUGGGUACCGGGGUCAUGA
RNAcentral lists this long non-coding RNA (882 nucleotides) under Elaeis guineensis (African oil palm). RNAcentral describes it as "long non-coding RNA (EGUI_LNC080164)". Lineage: Eukaryota; Viridiplantae; Streptophyta; Magnoliopsida; Arecales; Arecaceae. The record is from RNAcentral.